UUUUUGUAUUACGACUAAAGGACCCGAAUUUAGGUGAUCCUAGUAAAUUAUAUUUUUUUCCUCAUUUAAAAGAGGAUAAAUCUACGUACGAUCUCAAAAAGAAUAUCGAACCUAAAAAACUGAUUGUAACUGUUAUCAACAAAUGAAUAAAAGUAAUAUUUAACGAUGAAGUUAAAUUAAAAAUGAAAAAAUUCCAAAAAAUACUGGGAAAAUAGAGAAAUUCCUUUUAAGUUACCUAAAAAAAAAAUCUAUAGAAAGAAAUUAAUUUAAAGAACUGGAUAAAUUUUCCCCGACUGUUUAUCAAAAACAUUUCUUCAAAUGAGAAAAGGAAGUAUGCCCUGCUCAAUGUAAUAAUUAUUUAUAGCAUAAAUGCUAAGGUAGCAUAAUUACUAGUCGCUUAAUUGGCGAAUUGUCUGAACGGGUUAACGAGGGAGAAUUUUUCUUAAGUUUAAAAAUUAAGUAUGAGGUGAGAUCUCCUCAACUACUCAAUUAGACGAUAAGACCCUUUAAUCAAUUUUUUUUAAAAAAAUUAUUGUUGGGGCAACAAAGAGCGAAACUCUCUAUUUAUAUUUUCUACCAUAAUUUGAUAUGAUACUAGAGGGAUAACAGCAUAAUAUUUUCAUAAAAGAUCCUAUUUUAUGAGAAGAGUAUGACCUCGAUGUUGAACCAGAGAAAAU
RNAcentral lists this ribosomal RNA (677 nucleotides) under Spadella cephaloptera. RNAcentral describes it as "partial 16S ribosomal RNA". The stretch from base 278 to 436 matches the Rfam family "Bacterial large subunit ribosomal RNA", at positions 1784 to 2014 of the family's 2925-position model. The record is from RNAcentral. Lineage: Eukaryota; Metazoa; Chaetognatha; Sagittoidea; Phragmophora; Spadellidae.